This 1931-nucleotide long non-coding RNA is filed under the name Micromonas commoda. Its description in RNAcentral is "long non-coding RNA (MCOM_LNC000100)". Lineage: Eukaryota; Viridiplantae; Chlorophyta; Mamiellophyceae; Mamiellales; Mamiellaceae. The record is from RNAcentral.
CGUAAUCUGCCAGUUUGACACGCGCGUCGGGCGACUUGGAGCUGAGCAUGAAGUUCUCAGGCUUCAAGUCCCGAUGAGCGAUCCCAUGAGCAUGCAGGUAUUCUAACCCCGUGGCUAGAUCACGAAAAAUCGUGCGUCCAACUUCUUCGUUGAAAUGUCCGCUGUUGACUAUGUGGUCAAGUAAGGUGCCACCCGUGACGAGCUCCAUCACCAGAAGUACUCGGGUUGGCUCGUCGAACCAUUCUCUCAAGCAGAUGCAGUUCGGUUGCUUGACACGACACAAGAUGUCGAUUUCAGUUUGCAGCGAGUGGUCACCAGGAUCGACUUUACUCUUUUCGAUCACCUUGACGGCCCAUUUGGAAUGAUCCGAUUUGCACGUGACCAAGCGCACCACCCCGAAAGCGCCCUCGCCCAAGAUUGAGCCAACCUUGUAAAAAUCCUUGAAGCUUCCCUUCUUGUUGAGCUUGACGUGACCAAACUCACCCCCACUCCCUGCUGGGUCCAGCAGGAUAUCGUCCAUUUCAAAUAUCGCGUCGAUGAGGCUCAGGACGGUGGGCGAUGGUCGCCGCGCUUUAGCUCAGCAUGGCGACCGUCAGGGACGCGACCUUUUAUCUGAUGCCUUGACAGCUGCGGUGUGUCACAUUCCCGAGACUCGAGCCGGAAAUAUAUAUAUUACGAAGGUAGUAUGAUUGCGGUCGGUUGCAGUUUUUUGUUUGCUUGCCAACUCAGAUCGAAUGUGUUAGGAGUGUUAGAACGUGUGAAGCCUGCGGUCGGUCGUCGUGUGUGAGCAUGGCUACAUCUCCUUAUAUCUGGACUAUCGCCACGAGUGCUUUACAAGAAGUAGAUAGACAAUUACAAGCUGAGAGGGCAAGGAAUGAUGAUUUACAAGUGAGAUUACAAGCGCUUGAAGCUAGGAUUGAGGCGCUGGAAAAGAACUAAUGCCAUCUACCUUCGUGGUGAGACUAGUGAGAGGUACGAGGGUGCAGCACGCUUUCUCCACAUCAUAUGGGCAGCAACAAUCUAGCUGGUAGGCAUUAAUGACUCCUGCUUUUUUGUCCACCAAUACAUACUGGCACUCCUCACUAUUCUUCUCCUCACUAAUCUCAAAAAAAUGAUGCCACGAAUCAAAGCCCGCCCAGGUCAACUUCACACAAGAGAUCAACCAAGGGACGGGUAACGGCACGCCGAAGAGGCACGGGCAACAACAAAGGUUGCCUACAUUUCCCCACUCGCAAAAAUAAACACAGAACGGGCAAGGAAACUCGGCACAAAAACACAUCUUACACCCCUUGGCAUGUUCAGUGGGGAUCAGAGAAGCGGUGGUGUUGUACGCGGCGCGCACUUUGGCCUGCUUAACGUCCGUGUAUUUCAUCCUGUGCCAUACUUUUAGACCAUAAUCUUGUCUUCUGUCGUUCUGGCGGAAAUCAGUGUCGGUCGGCUGCGGCGCCAUGACCUGCGACGACGGGGGCCGAGUGCUCAGCAUCCUCGUCAACACUCAGCUUGGGUCGUUAUGUUCCGGGGGGAAGAAGAAGUGAAGGGCGACGGCAACGAUGAGGCCGGCCCCCGUAAAGCAAACAGAUGCGCCGUUCCGUAGGUCGCGAUAUUGAGUUUGGCCGCACGACCCUGCGCGGGGCGAAGUAGAUGCAUGCGUGGUCGGAAACGAUAUCGAAGGGAAAUCGCCGGGAAAAAUUUUGGUCAUCUGAGAUCAAGCCGAGGAGGUGCCCGAAAUGGCUCAAGCUCGGCAGUCUCUUCUCGUCUCAUUGGCUCCGCGCGCCGUCCGAGGGAGAGACGGGUCGCGACCACAUCCGGGCUCGGAGCGCGCGCCACCGCGUUCUUCGCCCCACACAGCGCGUGGGUUCGCGACGCGCGAGCGAGUGACACACGGAACAGACAGACGGAAACGCGCGUCCAAAGCAAUGGGGGCGGCGUCC